This is a long non-coding RNA of Nilaparvata lugens (brown planthopper), 455 nucleotides long. RefSeq lists it as uncharacterized. The transcript is spliced from 2 exons. The record is from RefSeq and is a predicted model, not a curated record. Lineage: Eukaryota; Metazoa; Arthropoda; Insecta; Hemiptera; Delphacidae.
UACCUUUUCUGUUCCAAAUGCAUAAGUUAUUUGCAUUGAGACAAGAAUAUAUAUUGCAAGAAUUUUACUGAGUUUCAUCCAUUCUAAUUCAAUAUCGUAUUAAAUCCACCUCUUUAUUCAUCUUUUUUAUCAUAUGAAUUGAUUUUUGCGUGAAGAUGCUUGGACGUUUGGCAAAUAUAUCUAUGCCUAGUGGUAAGCUGCUAUUGAUGUUGUUCAUUUUCAUCAUCAUGUGCGAAAUGCCGCCCUAUCAUCGAGCAAAUGGGAAGGUGAAGGAAAGGAAGUGAAACUUUCAAAUAUAUACAUCAAAGGAUGAUGAAUGGCUUUAAUAAUAAUAUUAUUUCCAUCGAGUAAUUCAGAUUUUUUGAAAAAUGUAGUGUUAGUAUGCGAUAGGUCUUGCAAGACUUGGAAAUACAUUGUAAUUUGUAAUGAAGGAUCAAUAAAAGAUUAAUAAAGAA